Alexandromys fortis (reed vole) is the source of this 699-nucleotide long non-coding RNA. RefSeq lists it as uncharacterized. The transcript is spliced from 2 exons. The record is from RefSeq and is a predicted model, not a curated record. NCBI's taxonomy places the organism in Eukaryota, Metazoa, Chordata, Mammalia, Rodentia, Cricetidae.
CUGUCCGAGUUGUGCUAUGAUGCUCCAAGCAUCUCAGAGUUUGAAGCCGUCAGAUCUCGCACUUAGAGAUGCUCUGUGACAAUUCAAGCGAGGAUUUCGAAAUCACGAGGCGCUCAGAUCUGACACACUGCUUGUCCCAAAUAUCUUGGAUAAUGGGCACUCAACCUAUAAGGGCCCUUGUCUGAAAUAAGAGACUCUGACUUAAUUAUGAUCAUUAGCAAAUGGGGCUUCUUGAGUCUUCACCAGCUUGCGGCUGUUGGAAGGAAUCCCCAGCGACCUUGUCGUCCACCCAUGCCAGUGAUAGAGAUGUUCAACCAUUCGGCUCACCUCUCACUGAACACUCAGCGAGGCCAAGACCGUGUGUUGGGCACCUGAGCCACAGCUGUGAACGUGGCGAGCGUUGAGGACACGUCCACUCCACACCUCUUGCUUUUUCCCCUACUCUAUAACGUAUUUCACAGAUAAUUGCUCGUAAACAUUUCUAUUACGCUACUUUCUUGACUGUGUGUGUGCACACCAUAACACACGUGUGGAGGCCAGAGGGCAGCUUGGGGGAGUCAGAUCUGUUCUUCCACAGGUAUGUGUCACAGGGGUCAAACUCAGGUCCUCAAGCUGUGUGAUAAGAGCCUUACCUGCUUUGUCAUCUUUCCAGCCCCCCCCCCCAGUUCAUGAUAAUAGAAAAGAUCUGUUUGUUCCUUU